Small nucleolar RNA from Caenorhabditis elegans, 127 nucleotides. Lineage: Eukaryota; Metazoa; Nematoda; Chromadorea; Rhabditida; Rhabditidae. The record is from Ensembl.
GUGGGGCACAGAGUUGCAGUUGAUUGAAACUAAAUCAUGUGCGCUAAGUUGUCCCGAAAGUAUCUUUGGAUUUCUACAAAACAGUGUUCCUUCUUUAGGAUGCUGAUCCGUAGAGAUCUGAACAAAU